This 820-nucleotide ribosomal RNA is filed under the name uncultured bacterium. RNAcentral's name for it is "bacterial SSU rRNA". It matches the Rfam family "Bacterial small subunit ribosomal RNA", at positions 102 to 915 of the family's 1533-position model. The record is from RNAcentral.
ACGGGUGAGUAAUGUCUGGGAAACUGCCUGAUGGAGGGGGAUAACUACUGGAAACGGUAGCUAAUACCGCAUAACGUCGCAAGACCAAAGAGGGGGACCUUCGGGCCUCUUGCCAUCGGAUGUGCCCAGAUGGGAUUAGCUAGUAGGUGGGGUAACGGCUCACCUAGGCGACGAUCCCUAGCUGGUCUGAGAGGAUGACCAGCCACACUGGAACUGAGACACGGUCCAGACUCCUACGGGAGGCAGCAGUGGGGAAUAUUGCACAAUGGGCGCAAGCCUGAUGCAGCCAUGCCGCGUGUAUGAAGAAGGCCUUCGGGUUGUAAACCCCCCCUGCUCGGGGAAGGAAGGGACUAAAGUUAAUACCUUUGCUCAUUGACGUUACCCGCAAAGAAGCACCGGCUAACUCCGUGCCAGCAGCCGCGGUAAUACGGAGGGUGCAAGCGUUAAUCGGAAUUACUGGGCGUAAAGCGCACGCAGGCGGUUUGUUAAGUCAGAUGUGAAAUCCCCGGGCUCAAACUGGGAACUGCAUCUGAUACUGGCAAGCUUGAGUCUCGUAGAGGGGGGUAGAAUUCCAGGUGUAGCGGUGAAAUGCGUAGAGAUCUGUAGGAAUACCGGUGGCGAAAGCGGCCACCUGGACGAAGACUGACGCUCACGUGCGAAAGCGUGGGGAGCAAACAGGAUUAGAUACCCUGUAGUCCACGCCGUAAACCAUGUCGACUUGGAGGUGUGCCCUUGACGCGUGGCUUCAGGAGCUAACGCGUUAAAGUCUACCUGCCUGGGGAGUACGGCAUCAAUGUUUAAAACUCAGAUGAAUUUGAUC